RNAcentral lists this non-coding RNA (29 nucleotides) under Homo sapiens (human). Lineage: Eukaryota; Metazoa; Chordata; Mammalia; Primates; Hominidae. The record is from RNAcentral.
UAUGUGUAACACAGGCUUGUAGGAGCACA